UUUCCAGAAGAGUGCCUGGUGCAGAGGCAUUGCUCAGUAAAUAUUUUGAAUGAAUGAACACUUCAAUAGACAGCAUCUAGCACAUGAUCGGUACAUUAUAAAUACUUGAUGACUGAAUGGAUAAUGGCUCUCCAGAGGGGCUAGCACAAUACCUGACAUACAGUAGCUUCGAAAUACAUACUGGAUGGAUGAUUGACAGUUUCAACAUGAUUCUAUAUAGAACUGGAUUGCCUGUCUCCAGGACCAGAUGUGAGAACAAAGAAGCCGUAAAAUGUGCUAGAAGUAGCAGCAUGAAGAGUAAAAACCAGCCCAUGUCCCUGAGGCAUGGACAGUGUUGGGCAUGUCUUCUUAAUCAUCAACAUGACCUGGAAUAAAGACAUAUCUGAAUUCCCCCCACUCCAGUCCUGAUGCAAAAGCCGUGUGUAUCACACUCUUCAUAGCCUCAGUCAAGUGAAAGAGCAUGACCAGGCUGUCUUCCUUCUCUACGUUGUGAGAAGGAAUAAAGUGAUGGAUGUGAGAGUGGUCUCAAGACUAAAAGUGCUAUACGUC
This is a long non-coding RNA of Callithrix jacchus (white-tufted-ear marmoset), 549 nucleotides long. RefSeq lists it as uncharacterized. NCBI's taxonomy places the organism in Eukaryota, Metazoa, Chordata, Mammalia, Primates, Cebidae. The record is from RefSeq and is a predicted model, not a curated record.